GUUGCAAACUCCAUUAGAAAUUUGAAUUGAGAUUGGUUUUGGAAUAAAGGAAAGGGGGAUGUGAAAAAAAAAAGGGGGGGGGUUCAAUUUUUCUCAUUUCAGAUUUCAAAAAUAGAAAGAAAAUUUCUUCAAACAUUUUUUUGAGAGGAUUAAUAUUCAACAGCAUAGUGAAUUGCUCAAAGGCAAAACAAAAGUUUUAAGUUCAUUAGACCACAUUCAUUCUGUGUCAGAAACCUAUGCUGUGUCAACUAUUUAAUCACAAUCCAAAUUUAGAGCUGAAUCCAGCUUGAAUGUUGUGUCCAUACUUACCCCAACCGUUCAGGGUUCAACCUCUGC
This 336-nucleotide long non-coding RNA is filed under the name Mytilus galloprovincialis (Mediterranean mussel). Lineage: Eukaryota; Metazoa; Mollusca; Bivalvia; Mytilida; Mytilidae. The record is from RNAcentral.